Long non-coding RNA from Arvicola amphibius (Eurasian water vole), 608 nucleotides. RefSeq lists it as uncharacterized. The record is from RefSeq and is a predicted model, not a curated record. The transcript has 4 exons. Lineage: Eukaryota; Metazoa; Chordata; Mammalia; Rodentia; Cricetidae.
CAGGGUUGGAACAAGAAGGGCUUCCUGGGCUUUUCCAUGUAAAAUGCUCAACAGAAGAACGGACCCAGGAAUGUCAGGAGGAGGAGAGCUUCAGACACAGGGAGAGGUUUCCAAAGAAAGGCCAGAGCAGAAGAGAAGAUCAGGAAGAAAGGGCGUUGGUGUGUAGAUUGUUCUAGCAGCGUGGGUCCGGCCACCCUCCACCAUACUUGCACACGCCGAGCAGGGCCGGGGGAAAGCUGGGGACAGAGAUGCCACCGUGGUACCCGUGAGCCUUCAGAAAUCACUGGCCUUUGGGAGCCAUGAGAGUCAGGCUGAGUCCAAAAACAGAGACGUGAAAGGCUGCCUUAUGCCAACCCCAAGGGCCCUGAUCGUUCACUUAACAACAGUGCCAUGGACCCUGAGAGUACCAAAAAUAAAAAGUCCCGGGGCUGGAGAGAUGGUGAAGCAGGCAAGCAUACAUACUGUUCUUACAGAUGACAAGUUUGAUUCCCAACACCCACAAGAGGAGUCUCACAACCUUCUGGACGUCCAGCUCCAGUGAGAUCAGAUACUGCUGACCUGAGGGGGACCUGCAUAUACCACAACUACCCCCCACCCCCAUCCCCGCA